AUCUAAAUUAAUUUUCAAAACAUUCAUAUAAUUAUCCAAGUAUAGGUGAUAGAACAGAUAAAUCUUAGGCACGAUAGAGAGAGUACCGUGAGGGAACGUUGAAAGAUCUCAUCCUGUAAGCAAUAAAAAGCAAAGAUUAAAUCUUCUACCUUUUGCAUAAUGAUUUAGCCAGUCUACACGGACAAAAAGAAUUAAAGCCCGUCUUCCCGAAAUUGAGUGAGCUAUUGUAGAACAGUUGUCAGAACGAACUCGUCUAUGUAGCAAAAUAGUGAGAUGAUUUUACAAUAGGGGUGAAAAGCCUAUCGAACUCAAUGAUAGCUGGUUGUCCAAAAAACGAAUUUUAGUUCAACUUUAAAUUUAACUCAAGUAUUAACAAACUAAAUUUAAAUUUAAAUGUUAAUCAAAAGGGGGACAACUCUUUUGAUAUGUGAACAAACUUAUUUAGCGGGUAAUGAUUCACACACAAAACAUUGUAGGCCUAAAAGCAGCCAUCAAUUAAGAAAGCGUUAAAGCUCAAACUAGUUUACCACUUAAUACCAAUUAUUUAUCAAAACCCCUAACCUAAUAUUGGACAAUUCUAUUAAUAUUUAGAAGAUAUAAUGCUAAUAUGAGUAACAUGAAUAAAUUCUCCUUGCAUAAGCAUAAAUACGACCGGAACAACCGCUUACACUUAAUCAACUAUAUAACUAUAACCACAUACAAGUAUUUUAUCAUCAACAUUGUUAACCCAACUCAGGCGUGCAUUAAGGAAAGAUUAAAAGGAAUAAAAGGAACUCGGCAAACAAAACCCCGCCUGUUUACCAAAAACAUCACCUCUAGCAUUUACCAGUAUUAGAGGCACUGCCUGCCCGGUGAGUUAUGACUUUAACGGCCGCGGUAUCCUGACCGUGCAAAGGUAGCAUAAUCACUUGUCUCUUAAUUGGAGACUAGUAUGAAUGGCAUAACGAGGGUUU
Molecule: ribosomal RNA, 953 nt
Filed under: Antechinus adustus
Lineage: Eukaryota; Metazoa; Chordata; Mammalia; Dasyuromorphia; Dasyuridae
Description: partial 16S ribosomal RNA
Rfam family: Bacterial large subunit ribosomal RNA (bases 128-953)
Source: RNAcentral